RNAcentral lists this small RNA (32 nucleotides) under Bombyx mori (domestic silkworm). RNAcentral describes it as "ovarian small RNA-37266". Lineage: Eukaryota; Metazoa; Arthropoda; Insecta; Lepidoptera; Bombycidae. The record is from RNAcentral.
UUCCUACCUAAGCUGAGAGCCUUGAGAGGCUA